AUAUAUAUUUUCGCAUCGAUUAAAAUUAUUUUUGACCAUUAAUUGAUUCAGUGUCAGUCACAGUGCGCUCUAAACAUCGAUAGCUGAUUUGGCUCUCCUCUCAUUCGCGUACAAUAACAAAACAAAAAUAUUAUGUUUUCCAACCGAAGCAAACAAGAGUGACCGCAGGAUCGUAGAACAAGAGUCCGGUGUUGGCGAUUGCGGAAAACUGGUGGUGCCGAGUGCUAACAAAGUGCAAAAGUGCCUCACAAAUGUCCCAUUUGGAUUUCAGGCUUGCUGACCAGCCCAUAAUACGCCGCAGAAAUGUCAGACCAUCAGGCACGACAUUGCUCAUCUCUCGGAGCCAGCAAAAGAUAAUCUUCGUAUUUCGGAGGUCGAAAAAACGGAAAAAUGGUGUAUGUUGACGACUACGAUGCACACUCCGAUGAUUGCCUACAUUGUUCUGGUGAAGCGGCCACAUUUCAGUAUAAAAUACUGGAAUAAUCUCCGGAAUAAUUUAUUACAGCAAUAAAAAGAAAAAAAAACUA
This is a long non-coding RNA of Armigeres subalbatus, 527 nucleotides long. RefSeq lists it as uncharacterized. The transcript has 2 exons. Lineage: Eukaryota; Metazoa; Arthropoda; Insecta; Diptera; Culicidae. The record is from RefSeq and is a predicted model, not a curated record.